RNAcentral lists this ribosomal RNA (328 nucleotides) under uncultured Pseudomonadota bacterium. RNAcentral's name for it is "bacterial SSU rRNA". It matches the Rfam family "Bacterial small subunit ribosomal RNA", at positions 29 to 351 of the family's 1533-position model. The record is from RNAcentral. Lineage: Bacteria; Pseudomonadati; Pseudomonadota.
AGCGAACGUUAGCGGCGGGCCUAACACAUGCAAGUCGAGCGAGAAAGGGGCUUCGGUCCCGAGUACAGCGGCGGACGGGUGAGGAACACGUAGGUAAUCUGCCUUUCAGUGGAGGACAACGGUCCGAAAGGACCGCUAAUACUGCAUACGUUCCCUUGGACUCCGGUCUGGGGGGAGAAAGCCUCGCAAGGGGCGCUAAAAGAGGAGCCUGCGUCGCAUCAGCUAGUUGGUGGGGUAACGCCUACCAAGGCUAAGACGCGUAGCUGGUCUGAGAGGAUGAUCAGCCACACUGGGACUGAGACACGGCCCAGACACCUACGGGUGGCAG